RNAcentral lists this ribosomal RNA (495 nucleotides) under uncultured bacterium. Its description in RNAcentral is "partial 16S ribosomal RNA". It matches the Rfam family "Bacterial small subunit ribosomal RNA", at positions 30 to 507 of the family's 1533-position model. The record is from RNAcentral.
UGACCGCUGGCGGCGUGCCUAAUACAUGCAAGUCGAGCGAACAGACGAGGAGCUUGCUCCUCUGACGUUAGCGGCGGACGGGUGAGUAACACGUGGAUAACCUACCUAUAAGACUGGGAUAACUUCGGGAAACCGGAGCUAAUACCGGAUAAUAUAUUGAACCGCAUGGUUCAAUAGUGAAAGACGGUUUUGCUGUCACUUAUAGAUGGAUCCGCGCCGCAUUAGCUAGUUGGUAAGGUAACGGCUUACCAAGGCAACGAUGCGUAGCCGACCUGAGAGGGUGAUCGGCCACACUGGAACUGAGACACGGUCCAGACUCCUACGGGAGGCAGCAGUAGGGAAUCUUCCGCAAUGGGCGAAAGCCUGACGGAGCAACGCCGCGUGAGUGAUGAAGGUCUUCGGAUCGUAAAACUCUGUUAUUAGGGAAGAACAAAUGUGUAAGUAACUAUGCACGUCUUGACGGUACCUAAUCAGAAAGCCACGGCUAACUACGUG